Molecule: long non-coding RNA, 687 nt
Organism: Nothoprocta perdicaria
Lineage: Eukaryota; Metazoa; Chordata; Aves; Tinamiformes; Tinamidae
Exons: 2
Source: RefSeq, a predicted model, not a curated record
CUAACCCUGCACUAAUGCUGGMUUUUCUCCUCUGCAGAAAGCAGGCCAGGUCUCCAUAAGUCCCUCGACAAUAGUGUGAGCCCCUCGGCGCACGUAUUCCGCCGAAGGAAGUGGAGUCGUUGUCUGGUGGCCACUGCAAGCUCCCCGACGAGCCCAGGCCUCUGAGCAGCAGGAGGAGACAGGCUUCAGCCAUGAAGAUACCUUURUACCUAACCAGGCUCUUUCAGACAGUCCAAAAAACCCUGACCUCGGGCUUGGGUGACCCCAAAAAGGGUUUGGUUAAUCUUUGCGUUGGAUGGGACCUUGGGCGUUCAAAACUUGUUAGCCCUUUAUUUAUGAGUAGCAAAUAACAUAGCAGUUUGAAAAAAUAUAUAUAUUAUUUUUAAAGCUAUAUGCUGUACAGAUUUUGUUACAAGUGACUCUGUUCCUAUUUGUUCUGUAAGCUGCACAUUUUAUAAAGUUUAUAUCAGGAAGGGCCUGAAGAGAAGCCAAGGUAUUUAAGAAAAGUAGCGUUAACUUUUUCUGUUUCAGGGCUGUAUUUGACCUGGAGUUCAAGAUUAACGUUCUUCCUUAUGUCCUAGAUGUGUCUAUCAUAGCAGUAAUUUAUUUUCUUGGCUUAACACUUCUGUUUUAAUAAAAGCAAGUUCCUUGUUACAGCCAGUGGUUCCUUUCAGCUGAUUCUUGUGC